RNAcentral lists this ribosomal RNA (456 nucleotides) under uncultured bacterium. Its description in RNAcentral is "SSU rRNA". It matches the Rfam family "Bacterial small subunit ribosomal RNA", at positions 26 to 518 of the family's 1533-position model. The record is from RNAcentral.
AGAACGAACGCUGGCGGCAUGCCUAACACAUGCAAGUCGAACGUGAUCCAGGCUUCGGCCUGGUGAAAGUGGCAGACGGGUGAGUAACGCGUGGGAACCUGCCCUGUGGUAGGGAAUAACCGUGGGAAACUGCGGCUAAUACCCUAUGAGUCCUUCGGGAGAAAGAUUUAUCGCCAUAGGAGGGGCCCGCGUCGGAUUAGGUAGUUGGUGGGGUAACGGCCUACCAAGCCUUCGAUCCGUAGCUGGUCUGAGAGGAUGAUCAGCCACACUGGGACUGAGAUACGGCCCAGACUCCUACGGGAGGCAGCAGUGGGGAAUAUUGGACAAUGGGGGGCAACCCUGAUCCAGCAAUGCCGCGUGGAUGAUGAAGGCCUUCGGGUUGUAAAGUCCUUUCGGCGGGGAAGAUGAUGACGGUACCGCAGAAGAAGCCCCGGCUAACUUCGUGCCAGCAGCCGC